GACCGGCAGCCGGGAGACGCUCUCACUGUCUCCAUCCCGCCGGCCUUCCCAGCAGUCCCCGCGCCGCCUUAAAGGUGAAGCCGCUACCUCUGCGCCGUCGGCGGGCUGGCUGCCUUAAAGGAGCGCCGGGAAAUCGACCCCGGCUACCUUUCUGGAGUCGCUCCGGAGAUGGCGAAUCGUAAAGCACCCAGUGCAGCGGCCAAAGAGGAAGAUAGUAGAAGAUGAGGCGCAGGGAAACGGCCCGACCAAAGCGAGAGACAGUUCGUUUAUUGAGAUAGUUACCAUCUAUUUUCUUUUGAGUCAGGGUCUCCCUAUGUAGUUUAGGCUGGCUUUGAACUCACUAGGUAGCGCAGGCUGGCCUGGAACUCAAAACAAUCCUGCCUCGGCCUCCCAAGUGCUGGGAUUACAGGCGUGCACCACCAUGCCUGGCCCACUGAGCGCUUCCUGAGGUGCCAAUUUACAUGCAUUUUAUGUUAAUGUUCACAAGGACUCCUUGAAGUGUGUGCUGGGUUAUCUUCACCUCACCCAGCCAACCCAGGCACAUUUGGCCUGCAGACGUGAGCACCGCUUCUUCUCAGCCGCCCAAGACCCUGUAGAAAACCUACAGCGGUUUUCUUCUUCCUCUUUUAUUUAUGUAUUUAUUUAGAGACAGGGUCUCACUGUGUGAUUCAGGGUGACCCUGAACCCACUCACUGUAUAGCCCAGGCUGGCCUGGAACUCACUGCUAUCCUCCUGCUUCAGCCUCUUCAGUGCUGACAUUACAGAAAUGUGCCACCGUGCCCAGCUUUUUAAAGUUUUUGAAAAAUUUUUAUUAUUAGUAGUGUAUGUUUGCAGUACAUAAUUCAUCAUGGUGGAUUUGUACACAUACAUAUCUAAAUUCUUUUUUUGUUCCCCUUCCCCUCCCCAUUUACAAAAGCUCUAUUUCCAUUCUUUCCCCUAAAGUUCUUUUUCCCUUUAAGUCCGCUUUCCCUUCCUUUUCUCCUCCCCCAUUUCUUGUUCCUCUUCCCAUGUUCUUCCUGCUUCCUAGUAUGUGACCUCCAUUUUGCUCCUUAUUAAUACUUUGGAUUUCUCACACAACAGAAACAAUGUGAUAUUUAAAUUGUGUGUCUGAUUUAUUUCACUUAUGAGUAUGGUCUUGAGGUAUAUCCAUUUACAUAAAAAUGUCUCAAGUUUAUCCUUUAUGGCAGAAUAGUACUCCACUGUAUGUAAGUAGCACAUUGUUAAGUGUUCAGAUAAGAAGGGGAACGAGGGAGAGGGAGAGGGAAAGAAAGAAGGGACAAGGAAAAAAAAAAGAAUAGGAGAAGAAAAAGCUUUUGUAAAUAAGACGGGGCGGGGGUUGGGAAUUUAGCUCAGCGGCAUAAGCGCCUGCCUUGCAAGCAGGCAGUCGUGAGUUCGAUCCCCGGUACCAAUAAAAAGGAAAAAAAGAUUAAAAAAAAAAAAAAAAAAAAAAAGACGGGGCGGGGUAGGAUUGAAGGGUGAGGAGGGGAAUGGGAAAAAAGCAAGAUAUGUCAUGUACACGUACAAAUUCCCUAUGAUGAAUGUUAUCGUUAUGUAUUUUGAAAUGUACCUAUAAAAAAUAUCACUUUUAUUGUCCAUUCAUCUGUUGAUGGCAUAUGGGCUGUUUCCAGGAUUUCGCUAUUAUACAUUGUGCUGCUAUAAACAUGGAUCUGCAUGUAUUGCUAUGGUAUGAUGACUUUGACUCUUUCAGGAAGAUACCUACAAGGCAAAUAGCAGAGUCAAUAGAAUCUCUAGUUUUAGUUUUUUGGAGAGUCCCAUACUGUUUUACGUAGUGGUUGUACCAGUUUAUUCUCCCACCAACAAUGGGGGGGGGUACCUUUUUCCCCCUGAAGCCUCCCUGGCAUUUGUUAUUGAUUUUUUUUUUUUUUUGUCUUUUUCGUUUUUAUCGGUAUCGGGGAUCUAACUCACGACUGCCUGCUUGCAAGGCAGGCGCUUAUGCCACUGAGCUAAAUCCCCAGCCCUGUAGCUUGUAAAUUUGAUGUCAUCCCAUUUGUUGAUAUUUUGGUAAAAUUUCAUAUGCAACUGGGGUUUUGUUCAAAAAAUCUUUGCCUCCACCUGUGUCUUCCAGAGUUUUACCUUGUCUUUCAGGAGAUGAAACAUUUCUGUUUUAAUAUUUAAUCUUUGAUUCAUUUCAGUUUUAGUUUAGUGCAUGGUCUUAUUUCAAUCUGCAGCAUGUAAAAAAAACAGUUUUCCCAGAGCCAUUUAUUAAAGAGGCUUGCUUUCUUUUA
Long non-coding RNA from Cavia porcellus (domestic guinea pig), 2246 nucleotides. RefSeq lists it as uncharacterized. The record is from RefSeq and is a predicted model, not a curated record. Lineage: Eukaryota; Metazoa; Chordata; Mammalia; Rodentia; Caviidae. The transcript is spliced from 2 exons.